RNAcentral lists this ribosomal RNA (467 nucleotides) under uncultured bacterium. RNAcentral's name for it is "partial 16S ribosomal RNA". It matches the Rfam family "Bacterial small subunit ribosomal RNA", at positions 28 to 507 of the family's 1533-position model. The record is from RNAcentral.
GACGAACGCUGGCGGCGUGCUUAACACAUGCAAGUCGAACGGAAAGGCCUCUUUCGGGGGGUACUCGAGUGGCGAACGGGUGAGUAACACGUGAGUAACCUGCCCUUGACUUUGGGAUAACUUCAGGAAACUGGGGCUAAUACCGGAUAGGAGCUCCUGCUGCAUGGUGGGGGUUGGAAAGUUUCGGCGGUUGGGGAUGGACUCGCGGCUUAUCAGCUUGUUGGUGGGGUAGUGGCUUACCAAGGCGUUGACGGGUAGCCGGCCUGUGAGGGUGAGCGGCCACAUUGGGACUGAGGUACGGCCCAGACUCCUACGGGAGGCAGCAGUGGGGAAGAUUGCACAAUGGGUGGAAGCCUGAUGCAGCAACGCCGUGUGCGGGAUGACGGCCUUCGGGUUGUAAACCGCUUUCGCUCAUGACGAAGCUUUGUGUGACGGUAGUGGGUAAAGAAGCACCGGCUAACUACGUG